UUCGCCCUUAGAGUUUGAUCCUGGCUCAGGACGAACGCUGGCGGCGUGCUUAACAUAUGCAAGUCGAACGGAGCGCCUAUGAAGGAGAUUUCGGUCAACGGAAUAGGUUGCUUAGUGGCGGACGGGUGAGUAACGCGUGAGGAACCUGCCUUUCAGAGGGGGACAACAGUUGGAAACGACUGCUAAUACCGCAUAACACAUAGGUGCCGCAUGGCAUUUAUGUCAAAGAUUUAUCGCUGAAAGAUGGCCUCGCGUCUGAUUAGCUAGUUGGUGAGGUAACGGCUCACCAAGGCGACGAUCAGUAGCCGGACUGAGAGGUUGGCCGGCCACAUUGGGACUGAGAUACGGCCCAGACUCCUACGGGAGGCAGCAGUGGGGAAUAUUGGGCAAUGGGCGCAAGCCUGACCCAGCAACGCCGCGUGAAGGAAGAAGGCUUUCGGGUUGUAAACUUCUUUUGACAGGGAAGAGUAGAAGACGGUACCUGUCGAAUAAGCCACGGCUAACUACGUGCCAGCAGCCGCGGUAAUACGUAGGUGGCAAGCGUUGUCCGGAUUUACUGGGUGUAAAGGGCGUGUAGCCGGGUUGACAAGUCAGAUGUGAAAUCCUGCGGCUUAACCGCAGAACUGCAUUUGAAACUGUUGAUCUUGAGUACUGGAGAGGCAGACGGAAUUCCUAGUGUAGCGGUGAAAUGCGUAGAUAUUAGGAGGAACACCAGUGGCGAAGGCGGUCUGCUGGACAGCAACUGACGGUGAGGCGCGAAAGCGUGGGGAGCAAACAGGAUUAGAUACCCUGGUAGUCCACGCUGUAAACGAUGGAUACUAGGUGUGCGGGGACUGACCCCCUGCGUGCCGCAGUUAACACAAUAAGUAUCCCACCUGGGGAGUACGAUCGCAAGGUUGAAACUCAAAGGAAUUGACGGGGGCCCGCACAAGCGGUGGAUUAUGUGGUUUAAUUCGAAGCAACGCGAAGAACCUUACCAGGGCUUGACAUCCCGGUGACCGCUGUAGAGAUACAGUUUUCCCUUCGGGGACACUGGUGACAGGUGGUGCAUGGUUGUCGUCAGCUCGUGUCGUGAGAUGUUGGGUUAAGUCCCGCAACGAGCGCAACCCUUAUUGUUAGUUGCUACGCAAGAGCACUCUAGCGAGACUGCCGUUGACAAAACGGAGGAAGGUGGGGACGACGUCAAAUCAUCAUGCCCCUUAUGUCCUGGGCCACACACGUACUACAAUGGUGGUCAACAGAGGGAAGCAAUACCGCGAGGUGGAGCAAAUCCCUAAAAGCCAUCCCAGUUCGGAUCGCAGGCUGCAACCCGCCUGCGUGAAGUUGGAAUCGCUAGUAAUCGCGGAUCAGCAUGCCGCGGUGAAUACGUUCCCGGGCCUUGCACUCACCGCCCGUCA
RNAcentral lists this ribosomal RNA (1397 nucleotides) under uncultured bacterium. RNAcentral's name for it is "16S ribosomal RNA". It matches the Rfam family "Bacterial small subunit ribosomal RNA". The record is from RNAcentral.